RNAcentral lists this ribosomal RNA (484 nucleotides) under uncultured bacterium. RNAcentral describes it as "bacterial SSU rRNA". It matches the Rfam family "Bacterial small subunit ribosomal RNA", at positions 28 to 509 of the family's 1533-position model. The record is from RNAcentral.
GAUGAACGCUAGCGGCAGGCAUAAUACAUGCAAGACGAACGGUAACUUGAGUAGCAAUACUUGAGCUAGAGUGUCGUACGGGUGCGUAACACGUAUGCAACCUACCUUUUACAGGAGUAUAGCUCCCCGAAAGGGGAAUUAACCCUCCAUAAUAUCAUUGGAUGGCAUCAUUUGAUGAUUAAAACUGAGGUGGUAAAAGAUGGGCAUGCGUCUGAUUAGUUAGUUGGCAGUGUAACGGACUACCAAGACGAUGAUCAGUAGGGGACCUGAGAGGUUGAUCCCCCACACUGGCACUGAGAUACGGGCCAGACUCCUACGGGAGGCAGCAGUAGGGAAUAUUGGACAAUGGGUGCAAGCCUGAUCCAGCCAUGCCGCGUGCAGGAAGAAAGCCUUCUGGGUUGUAAACUGCUUUUGCCAGGGGAUAAAACACUUUGCGAAGUGGAUUGAAGGUACCUGGUGAAUAAGCCACGGCUAACUACGUGCC